AAGAUGGCGACCGGCGCACGGGUGAGUAACACGUAUCCAACCUGCCGAUAACUCCGGGAUAGCCUUUCGAAAGAAAGAUUAAUACCGGAUGGCAUACGAAUAUCGCAUGAUAUUUUUAUUAAAGAAUUUCGGUUAUCGAUGGGGAUGCAUUCCAUUAGUUUGUUGGCGGGGUAACGGCCCACCAAGACUACGAUGGAUAGGGGUUCUGAGAGGAAGGUCCCCCACAUUGGAACUGAGACACGGUCCAA
This 248-nucleotide ribosomal RNA is filed under the name uncultured bacterium. RNAcentral's name for it is "partial 16S ribosomal RNA". It matches the Rfam family "Bacterial small subunit ribosomal RNA", at positions 85 to 334 of the family's 1533-position model. The record is from RNAcentral.